UAGUGUCUUGAGUCAUGGCUCAGGACGAACGCUGGCGGCGUGCUAAUACAUGCAAGUCGAACGAAACUUUCUUACACCGAAUGCUUGCAUUCACCGUAAGAAGUUGAGUGGCGGACGGGUGAGUAACACGUGGGUAACCUGCCUAAAAGAAGGGGAUAACACUUGGAAACAGGUGCUAAUACCGUAUAUCUAUAAGGAUCGCAUGAUCCUUAGAUGAAAGAUGGUUCUGCUAUCGCUUUUAGAUGGACCCGCGGCGUAUUAACUAGUUGGUGGGGUAACGGCCUACCAAGGUGAUGAUACGUAGCCGAACUGAGAGGUUGAUCGGCCACAUAGGGACUGAGACACGGCCCAAACUCCUACGGGAGGCAGCAGUAGGGAAUCUUCCACAAUGGACGCAAGUCUGAUGGAGCAACGCCGCGUGAGUGAAGAAGGUCUUC
This 437-nucleotide ribosomal RNA is filed under the name Ligilactobacillus salivarius. RNAcentral's name for it is "bacterial SSU rRNA". It matches the Rfam family "Bacterial small subunit ribosomal RNA", at positions 1 to 419 of the family's 1533-position model. The record is from RNAcentral. Lineage: Bacteria; Bacillati; Bacillota; Bacilli; Lactobacillales; Lactobacillaceae.